UAGGGAAUUUUCCACAAUGGACGAAAGUCUGAUGGAGCAACGCCGCGUGAACGAUGAAGGUCUUCGGAUUGUAAAGUUCUGUUGUCAGGGACGAACAAGUACCGUUUGAACAAGGCGGUACCUUGACGGUACCUGACGAGAAAGCCACGGCUAACUACGUGCCAGCAGCCGCGGUAAUACGUAGGUGGCAAGCGUUGUCCGGAAUUAUUGGGCGUAAAGCGCGCGCAGGCGGCUAUGUAAGUCUGGUGUUAAAGCCCGGGGCUCAACCCGCGUACGCAUCGGAAACUGUGUAGCUUGAGUGCAGAAGAGGAAAGCGGUAUUCCACGUGUAGCGGUGAAAUGCGUAGAGAUGUGGAGGAACACCAGUGGCGAAGGCGGCUUUCUGGUCUGUAACUGACGCUGAGGCGCGAAAGCGUGGGGGAGCAAACAGGAUUAGAUACCC
Molecule: ribosomal RNA, 441 nt
Filed under: uncultured bacterium
Lineage: Bacteria
Description: bacterial SSU rRNA
Rfam family: Bacterial small subunit ribosomal RNA
Source: RNAcentral